This 468-nucleotide ribosomal RNA is filed under the name uncultured bacterium. RNAcentral describes it as "partial 16S ribosomal RNA". It matches the Rfam family "Bacterial small subunit ribosomal RNA", at positions 28 to 507 of the family's 1533-position model. The record is from RNAcentral.
GACGAACGCUGGCGGCGUGCUUAACACAUGCAAGUCGAACGGAAAGGCCCUGCUUUUGUGGGUGUCUCGGUGGCGAACGGGGGGGGAACAACGGGUGUAUCCGCCCCUUAACUUGGGGUUAUCUCCGGGAAACAGGGGCUAUAACCGCUUAGAAUCUCUUGCGCCGUGUGGGGGAUUGGAAAGUUUCGGCGGUGGGGGAUGGACUCGCGGCUUAUCCGCUUGUUGGGGGGGUAGUGGCUUACCAAGCCUUUGACGGGUAGCCGGCCUGGGAGGGUGACCGGCCACAUUGGGACUGAGAUACGGCCCAGACUCCUACGGGAGGCAGCAGUGGGGAAUAUUGCACAAUGGGCGGAAGCCUGAUGCAGCAACGCCGCGUGCGGGAUGACGGCCUUCGGGUUGUAAACCGCUUUCGCCUGUGACGAAGCGUGAGUGACGGUAAUGGGUAAAGAAGCACCGGCUAACUACGUG